GAUGAACGCUGGCGGCGUGCCUAAUACAUGCAAGUCGAGCGAACAGACGAGGAGCUUGCUCCUCUGACGUUAGCGGCGGACGGGUGAGUAACACGUGGAUAACCUACCUAUAAGACUGGGAUAACUUCGGGAAACCGGAGCUAAUACCGGAUAAUAUAUUGAACCGCAUGGUUCAAUAGUGAAAGACGGUUUUGCUGUCACUUAUAGAUGGAUCCGCGCCGCAUUAGCUAGUUGGUAAGGUAACGGCUUACCGAGGCAACGAUGCGUAGCCGACCUGAGAGGGUGAUCGGCCACACUGGAACUGAGACACGGUCCAGACUCCUACGGGAGGCAGCAGUAGGGAAUCUUCCGCAAUGGGCGAAAGCUUGACGGAGCAACGCCGCGUGAGUGAUGAAGGUCUUCGGAUCGUAAAACUCUGUUAUUAGGGAAGAACAAAUGUGUAAGUAACUAUGCACGUCUUGACGGUACCUAAUCAGGAAGCCACGGCUAACUACGUG
RNAcentral lists this ribosomal RNA (497 nucleotides) under uncultured bacterium. RNAcentral's name for it is "partial 16S ribosomal RNA". It matches the Rfam family "Bacterial small subunit ribosomal RNA", at positions 28 to 507 of the family's 1533-position model. The record is from RNAcentral.